GGGCUUUGUUCCUAACGCUUUGGACCCUAUAUUAGGGAUGCCGGCUUGCCGGCUAUGGAAAUAAAUGGCCGUCGCAAUAAACCAUUCGGACCCGGGGGCAGCACCCGGCGCCUCCACCAAAAUCUCCCCG
This 130-nucleotide transfer-messenger RNA is filed under the name Bradyrhizobiaceae bacterium. Its description in RNAcentral is "partial transfer-messenger RNA". It matches the Rfam family "Alphaproteobacteria transfer-messenger RNA", at positions 1 to 130 of the family's 355-position model. From Rfam's summary of the family: Bacterial tmRNA, also known as 10Sa RNA or SsrA, is named for its dual tRNA and mRNA-like properties. Its role is to liberate the mRNA from a stalled ribosome. The record is from RNAcentral. Lineage: Bacteria; Pseudomonadati; Pseudomonadota; Alphaproteobacteria; Hyphomicrobiales; Nitrobacteraceae.